GGUGGAGUUCUGCUAUGCUUUCCAUUGUAGCAAGAGGCUUUCUGGCAAAAAUUGAGAAGAAUUUAUAUAAAUGCUCUUUAGGAUGCAGAGCCAGAGAAACACCUGCUGACUAAGAAGAGCAGAGCAAAUAGCCAACUACAGAAUACUGAUCAUGGGCCCUUCCUGGUGGCG
Long non-coding RNA from Condylura cristata (star-nosed mole), 171 nucleotides. RefSeq lists it as uncharacterized. NCBI's taxonomy places the organism in Eukaryota, Metazoa, Chordata, Mammalia, Eulipotyphla, Talpidae. The transcript has 3 exons. The record is from RefSeq and is a predicted model, not a curated record.